RNAcentral lists this ribosomal RNA (429 nucleotides) under Acidobacteriota bacterium. RNAcentral describes it as "Acidobacteria bacterium partial 16S ribosomal RNA". It matches the Rfam family "Bacterial small subunit ribosomal RNA", at positions 355 to 776 of the family's 1533-position model. Lineage: Bacteria; Pseudomonadati; Acidobacteriota. The record is from RNAcentral.
UGGGGAAUUUUGGACAAUGGGGGAAACCCUGAUCCAGCCAUCCCGCGUGUGCGAUGAAGGCCUUCGGGUUGUAAAGCACUUUUGGCAGGAAAGAAACGUCAUGGGUUAAUACCCCGUGAAACUGACGGUACCUGCAGAAUAAGCACCGGCUAACUACGUGCCAGCAGCCGCGGUAAUACGUAGGGUGCAAGCGUUAAUCGGAAUUACUGGGCGUAAAGCGUGCGCAGGCGGUUCGGAAAGAAAGAUGUGAAAUCCCGGAGCUCAACUUUGGAACUGCAUUUUUAACUACCGGGCUAGAGUGUGUCAGAGGGAGGUGGAAUUCCGCGUGUAGCAGUGAAAUGCGUAGAUAUGAGGAAGAACACCGGUGGCGAAGGCAGCCUCCUGGAAUAACAAUGACGCUCAUGCACGAAAGCGUGGGGAGCAAACAGG